This 409-nucleotide unclassified non-coding RNA is filed under the name Hevea brasiliensis (rubber tree). The record is from RNAcentral. Lineage: Eukaryota; Viridiplantae; Streptophyta; Magnoliopsida; Malpighiales; Euphorbiaceae.
CAAAUGCUGAGACUUAGCAUUGCAAAGACUGUGUAGGAUGCAGCUGGGAUUGUGAAGUUUCCUAGCCGCCUGUUUGAUUGAAGGGCUUGAAAUACUGCAUAAGUUUGUUGUUGGGAUUGAGCAACAAAGUAUAGAACUCCUGCUAACCAUAUUGGUAGCACUCUCACCAAACAUUUCACUUCUUCCACUUGUUGCAUACUGCAAAGUCUCCAUGGAUCUACUGCUGAUCCAUCCUCCUUUAUUUGGUCUUCUGCUGUUAUGAUUGCUGCUUUGUCCAGAAAUCUGAACUGAUCUGAAUAGGAAAGUUUGGAGUUAAUGGAGCCUGGAGGUGUGUAGUCAAAGAGAGAAAGCCAUGGUUGAUCUGGUUGCUUGAGUUUUCUUUUCUUAAUAGCAACCACUAGAACUUGUG